RNAcentral lists this long non-coding RNA (364 nucleotides) under Neogobius melanostomus (round goby). Its description in RNAcentral is "lncRNA (ENSNMLG00000000531.1)". Lineage: Eukaryota; Metazoa; Chordata; Actinopteri; Gobiiformes; Gobiidae. The record is from RNAcentral.
UAUUUAUUUAUUUAUUUUGUAUUUGCUUCAUUCAGAGAGGCCGCGAGACGAAAGAGGAGGAAGAGGAGGAGGUGGAGCCGGCGAGAUCGUUGGACCAAAGGCUGAAUACGUGUGCGUCAUAACGGGGCAACAGCCGAGGACCCCUGGGUGCUGCUGUACUGCUACUGCUGACAAGUGCCUAAUGUGGAUUAUCGUGAGACCAAAGCUGGACUGAGUCACUCUAUUCAAUGAUAAAAGCAGCAGGAAACCAGGACUAAACCAGGACUAAGCCAGGUCAUGUUUUAUUGAGAUGGAAAUGCACGAUACAGAAGCCCUCUAGGGACACACCGUACCUGCCACUGUCAGCGUUACAACAGGCACGAAU